AGAUCCAAGAAAUAUGUCUUAAAAUUAGUGUAGGUAAAAACCACCUUCACCAGAAUUAUAUGUCUCAAAUCCAUUUUGCUCAGGCUUCCCGAUACUGACCACAACAGUAUUUGCUUCUCCACCAUACCUGUCCAGCAGCGGGAUUUUCAAUUGUGAAUCUCUUUGGUUGAAAUUUUCUCUCCAACCAAGGAAAACAGCUUCUUCUAUUUCUCUUUCACCUUCACUACAACUGCCAUGUGACUAUCCUCAAUUUUAAAAUUUAAUUUGAAAAAAUGGAAAUGAGAAAGGCCUAAUGAGAUUGAUUGCUAUACAGAACCAGAGCUCCAUAGCAGAGAAACUUUCAAAUUAAGAGGUGGGUCCACUCCACAAAAAUAUCUUCAAAGCAAAACCAAGCAAAAAAAUAAUCAGUGACGGUACGGUGGUGGAUUUGCAACCGUGGUGGCUCGGCAGCGGCAACGUGUUAGCAGAGAGGCUAUGGUGUUGAACGGCAGUUUCCGUCGACUUCAGAGCAGUAGCGAGGGAGGCCGAUGUUCAAAAUUCAGCGGCGAUGAUUUGGGGAGAAUUGAGAGCUACGACGACUCUCGAAGGCAUGCAACAGCGCGACAUUGAAAAUCGAGAAAAGAAUGGGGGUUUCCGACAGCGGCGACUGACGCUGCUCGAGCACGGCUCAACGGCGACAAAGUAGAUUUGGAGAGGAGGAGGGGAGUUUGUUCCGUUGAGAUUGAGAGGGAAGAGAGAGAAACAAAGUGAUAUUAGGAUUUAGGAGAAAAAAAUACGGAUACGAGUACGGAGACCCGGAUUGGGCCAGUUACAGAUUUGGUUGGGGUACGACCGGGGUGUACGGUACACUCGGGUGUACAUAAGAUUUUGUGAUUUUGUAAUUGCUUUUUUUAUCAUAUAAAUUUUAAAUAUAUUAAUUUUUAAUUAUUACUCCAUCCGUUCCACUCCUUUUGUCCCACUGAAAGUAACCUGUAUUCCAUUUUGGGCCGUCCCACUAUAAGUGGUCUAUUUUCAUAAAUGACAAAGUUUAACCC
Molecule: long non-coding RNA, 1034 nt
Filed under: Salvia miltiorrhiza (redroot sage)
Lineage: Eukaryota; Viridiplantae; Streptophyta; Magnoliopsida; Lamiales; Lamiaceae
Description: long non-coding RNA (SMIL_LNC009029)
Source: RNAcentral